RNAcentral lists this ribosomal RNA (253 nucleotides) under uncultured bacterium. RNAcentral describes it as "partial 16S ribosomal RNA". It matches the Rfam family "Bacterial small subunit ribosomal RNA", at positions 524 to 776 of the family's 1533-position model. The record is from RNAcentral.
GACGGGGGAUGCAGGUGUUAUCCGGAAUCACUGGGCGUAAAGCGUCUGCAGGUGGUUUCCUAAGUCCACUGUUAAACCUUGAGGCUCAACCUCAAAUCUGCAUUGGAAACUAGGAGACUUGAGUAUAGUAGGGGUAGAGGGAAUUUCCAGUGGAGCGGUGAAAUGCGUAGAUAUUGGAAAGAACACCGAUGGCGAAGGCACUCUACUGGGCUAUUACUGACACUCAGAGACGAAAGCUAGGGGAGCAAAUGGG